UGAACGCUGGCGGCGUGCCUACUACAUGCAAGUCGAGCGAACAGAUACGGAGCUUGCUCCUUUGACGUUAGCGGCGGACGGGUGAGUAACACGUGGGUAACCUACCUAUAAGACUGGGAUAACUUCGGGAAACCGGAGCUAAUACCGGAUAACAUUUGGAACCGCAUGGUUCUAAAGUGAAAGAUGGUUUUGCUAUCACUUAUAGAUGGACCCGCGCCGUAUUAGCUAGUUGGUAAGGUAACGGCUUACCAAGGCGACGAUACGUAGCCGACCUGAGAGGGUGAUCGGCCACACUGGAACUGAGACACGGUCCAGACUCCUACGGGAGGCAGCAGUAGGGAAUCUUCCGCAAUGGGCGAAAGCCUGACGGAGCAACGCCGCGUGAGUGAUGAAGGGUUUCGGCUCGUAAAACUCUGUUAUUAGGGAAGAACAAAUGUGUAAGUAACUGUGCACGUCUUGACGGUACCUAAUCAGAAAGCCACGGCUAACUACGUG
This 495-nucleotide ribosomal RNA is filed under the name uncultured bacterium. Its description in RNAcentral is "partial 16S ribosomal RNA". It matches the Rfam family "Bacterial small subunit ribosomal RNA", at positions 30 to 507 of the family's 1533-position model. The record is from RNAcentral.